UGGCGUGUAGCUCAGAGGUAGAGCGUUUGGGGUCGAUACCCAAAAUGCGCCGGUUCGAUCCCGGUCACGUCAA
This 73-nucleotide transfer RNA is filed under the name Enterococcus hulanensis. RNAcentral describes it as "tRNA-Ile". It matches the Rfam family "tRNA". From Rfam's summary of the family: Transfer RNA (tRNA) molecules are approximately 80 nucleotides in length. The record is from RNAcentral. Lineage: Bacteria; Bacillati; Bacillota; Bacilli; Lactobacillales; Enterococcaceae.